Molecule: ribosomal RNA, 496 nt
Filed under: uncultured bacterium
Lineage: Bacteria
Description: partial 16S ribosomal RNA
Rfam family: Bacterial small subunit ribosomal RNA
Source: RNAcentral
AUGAACGCUGGCGGCGUGCCUAAUACAUGCAAGUCGAGCGAACAGACGAGGAGCUUGCUCCUCUGACGUUAGCGGCGGACGGGUGAGUAACACGUGGAUAACCUACCUAUAAGACUGGGAUAACUUCGGGAAACCGGAGCUAAUACCGGAUAAUAUAUUAAACCGCAUGGUUCAAUAGUGAAAGACGGUUUUGCUUUCACUUAUAGAUGGAUCCGCGCCGCAUUAGCUAGUUGGUAAGGUAACGGCUUACCAAGGCAACGAUGCGUAGCCGACCUGAGAGGGUGAUCGGCCACACUGGAACUGAGACACGGUCCAGACUCCUACGGGAGGCAGCAGUAGGGAAUCUUCCGCAAUGGGCGAAAGCCAGACGGAGCAACGCCGCGUGAGUGAUGAAGGUCUUCGGAUCGUAAAACUCUGUUAUUAGGGAAGAACAAAUGUGUAAGUAACUAUGCACGUCUUGACGGUACCUAAUCAGAAAGCCACGGCUAACUACGUG